GAUGAACGCUGGCGGCGUGCCUAAUACAUGCAAGUCGAGCGAACAGACGAGGAGCUUGCUCCUCUGACGUUAGCGGCGGACGGGUGAGUAACACGUGGAUAACCUACCUAUAAGACUGGGAUAACUUCGGGAAACCGGAGCUAAUACCGGAUAAUAUAUUGAACCGCAUGGUUCAAUAGUGAAAGACGGUUUUGCUGUCACUUAUAGAUGGAUCCGCGCCGCAUUAGCUAGUUGGUAAGGUAACGGCUUACCAAGGCAACGAUGCGUAGCCGACCUGAGAGGGUGAGAGGCGACAGGGGAAAUGAGACACGGGACAGAAGCAUAGUGGAGGCAGCAGUAGGGAAUCGUUCGGAAGGGGGGAAAGUCUGAAGGAGAAACGAAGAGUGAGGAAUGAAUGUGUUCGGAUAGGAAAAAUGUGUGACGAGGGAAAAACAAAGGGGGAAGGAACGAGGCACGUAGGGAAGGGACGGAAGAAGAAAGAGACGGCGAACUACGUG
RNAcentral lists this ribosomal RNA (497 nucleotides) under uncultured bacterium. Its description in RNAcentral is "partial 16S ribosomal RNA". The stretch from base 16 to 379 matches the Rfam family "Bacterial small subunit ribosomal RNA", at positions 43 to 396 of the family's 1533-position model. The record is from RNAcentral.